RNAcentral lists this transfer RNA (69 nucleotides) under Urocitellus parryii (Arctic ground squirrel). RNAcentral describes it as "Spermophilus parryii (Arctic ground squirrel) tRNA". It matches the Rfam family "tRNA". Rfam says of the family: Transfer RNA (tRNA) molecules are approximately 80 nucleotides in length. Their secondary structure includes four short double-helical elements and three loops (D, anti-codon, and T loops). The record is from Rfam by way of RNAcentral. Lineage: Eukaryota; Metazoa; Chordata; Mammalia; Rodentia; Sciuridae. RNAcentral also lists the same sequence under 2 other names.
GGGGUUGUGGCUCAGUGGUAGAGCACAUGCCUUGAAUGCAUGAAGCACUGGGUUAGAUCUUCAGCACCA